GACAGAGGGUGCAACCGUUGUUCGGAAUUACUGGGCGUAAAGCGAGUGUAGGCGGUCUCAUAAGUCGGGUGUGAAAGCCCUGGGCUCAACCCAGGAAGUGCACUCGAAACUGCGAGGCUAGAGUAUCGGAGAGGUUGGUGGAAUUCUCGGUGUAGAGGUGAAAUUCGUAGAUAUCGAGAGGAACACCGGUGGCGAAGGCGGCCAACUGGACGAAUACUGACGCUGAGACUCGAAAGCGUGGGGAGCAAACAGG
Molecule: ribosomal RNA, 253 nt
Filed under: uncultured bacterium
Lineage: Bacteria
Description: partial 16S ribosomal RNA
Rfam family: Bacterial small subunit ribosomal RNA
Source: RNAcentral